AUAGCGUAUAUUAAAGUUGUUGCAGUUAAAAAGCUCGUAGUUGAACUUCAGGCCUGGCUGAACGGUCUGCCUAACGGUUUGUACUGUUUGGCCGGGUCUUACCUCUUGGUGAGCCGGCGUGCCCUUCACUGGUGUGCGUCGGGGAACCAGGACUUUUACCUUGAGAAAAUUAGAGUGUUCAAAGCAGGCCUAUGCCCGAAUACAUUAGCAUGGAAUAAUAAAAUAGGACGUGCGGUUCUAUUUUGUUGGUUUCUAGAGUCGCCGUAAUGAUUAAUAGGGAUAGUUGGGGGCAUUGGUAUUGAGUCGCUAGAGGUGAAAUUCUUGGAUUGACUCAAGACCAACUAUUG
This 347-nucleotide ribosomal RNA is filed under the name uncultured eukaryote. Its description in RNAcentral is "SSU rRNA". It matches the Rfam family "Eukaryotic small subunit ribosomal RNA", at positions 594 to 945 of the family's 1831-position model. The record is from RNAcentral.